UAUACUUUAGUAUAAGAUGUAUAAAAGUUUUUGAUGCUUUAGGAGAUAGUUUAAUUCUGUCAAGUGUAA
RNAcentral lists this transfer RNA (69 nucleotides) under Athous haemorrhoidalis. Its description in RNAcentral is "tRNA-Gln". Lineage: Eukaryota; Metazoa; Arthropoda; Insecta; Coleoptera; Elateridae. The record is from RNAcentral.